GGAGUCCCUGAUGUGUCUCCGACGAGCAGGAGCAGAUAUAAUCCUAACAUAUUUUGCUCUUCAGGCAGCUAGAUGUUUGUGUGGUGAGAGGUGAGAGUUAUGUUAAUGUGCAGUUGUAGAGAAUUUUUGGUCGUCAAAACCUCAAAUGAGUGCCUCUUUAUCGCAGUAAAUUCUGUAGUAUUAUUUGAAUCUGUUUUGUAAUUUAAUUCAAUGCUCAAUUUGCUAAUAUAUU
This 232-nucleotide unclassified non-coding RNA is filed under the name Hevea brasiliensis (rubber tree). The record is from RNAcentral. Lineage: Eukaryota; Viridiplantae; Streptophyta; Magnoliopsida; Malpighiales; Euphorbiaceae.